RNAcentral lists this ribosomal RNA (526 nucleotides) under Saccharomyces cerevisiae (brewer's yeast). RNAcentral describes it as "partial large subunit ribosomal RNA". Lineage: Eukaryota; Fungi; Ascomycota; Saccharomycetes; Saccharomycetales; Saccharomycetaceae. The record is from RNAcentral.
AGUGAGCGGCAAAAGCUCAAAUUUGAAAUCUGGUACCUUCGGUGCCCGAGUUGUAAUUUGGAGAGGGCAACUUUGGGGCCGUUCCUUGUCUAUGUUCCUUGGAACAGGACGUCAUAGAGGGUGAGAAUCCCGUGUGGCGAGGAGUGCGGUUCUUUGUAAAGUGCCUUCGAAGAGUCGAGUUGUUUGGGAAUGCAGCUCUAAGUGGGUGGUAAAUUCCAUCUAAAGCUAAAUAUUGGCGAGAGACCGAUAGCGAACAAGUACAGUGAUGGAAAGAUGAAAAGAACUUUGAAAAGAGAGUGAAAAAGUACGUGAAAUUGUUGAAAGGGAAGGGCAUUUGAUCAGACAUGGUGUUUUGUGCCCUCUGCUCCUUGUGGGUAGGGGAAUCUCGCAUUUCACUGGGCCAGCAUCAGUUUUGGUGGCAGGAUAAAUCCAUAGGAAUGUAGCUUGCCUCGGUAAGUAUUAUAGCCUGUGGGAAUACUGCCAGCUGGGACUGAGGACUGCSACGUAAGUCAAGGAUGCUGGCAUA